GGGAGGGGCUGAGGUCAUCAGUGCACAAUGGUCAGGCCCGGAGUUUCAGUCCUUGUGACCUUGUGACCUUUGAAGAACGACAGAAGGAAUCGAGGGGCGUCGUGGCGACCGGGUUAGGUUUAUCUGCUGCUCUGGCUCCUUGCUCCUAGACCUAGGGGCGGGCCCCUAGUUAUGCGGCGUGCAGGCGACGGGAAGCGCUUGUCGUGAGCAGCAGCGAUGAGAUCAGUUUGCAUAACCACAGCGUCGGGGUGGGGAGUGCAGCCAGUCACGCAGCCACCACCCGACCCGGCUCAGGCUCUGCCCAGGUGGCAGCGGCUGCCCCACGGAUUUGGGUAGCUGGAGGUGGUCCUGCCCCUUCAAGGCCAGGGCCUGCUGGGGUGUCAGAAUCAUUCCAAGGGAGUGUCCAGGAGGCAGUGGGGAGGAGGGGAGCCACACACACACAAAAAACCCCCGCAACCUUCAGGGUUUGCAGACUGGAUUCUAUUAGGCAGGUUUCCAGACACAGUGAAAACCACUGUGCCUAGUAGGUAACUUCAAAGACCACUAUCAUGGAAAUCAAAGGUCAUUAAAAGGGGCCUUUAAUUUGUUUAUAUUAUUUCGCCUAGCAGUCUUUCCUAUGUGUGCAUGAAAUUUAAUUUAUGCAUUCAAGUCUGGAAUCCUGCUUUAGCAAGGGAAACAAUUAUGAAUUCAGUUAAGAGUAUGGGUACAAACGGAUUACUUAAAAGAACAAUGAACUGGGAAAAAAAAAUUCCAGCUCCUAACAAGAAGGCCAUUACAUUCAGCUUUUCACGGUUUUGAACAUCUUGUGCGGGCUCAACAAUAAUACGUGGAGGAAGCUUCUAAUUAGGCAUUUAAAACGCUAGCAUUUACGCCAGGAAAACGUCAAGAAUGCCUUAUGUUAUAGACAUGUGAAUACCAUCUACAUAUAUAAGAGAAAAUCAAGAGAUAUCAACCUCCUGAGAACGCAUUGCUUUAGGACAUCCAACAAGCAUCUCACAUGGAACGUGUUCAAAUAGACCUCAACUUGGUCUCCCCCUGAUCUUUCCUGUCUUAGUAAUCAUACCACAAUAGUCAAUCCAAAGUCUUGAUAAGCAUUUUUAUUCUUCCCUCUUCUUCUGUAUCUACUUUAUCAGCAAGCCAUGGUCAUUUGAUUUCAGAUAGAUAGAUAGCUAUAGAUAGAUAGAAAGUAUGUGUAUGUGCAUAUAUCUGUAUUAGUUUGUAUACUUGAGUGUCAGUGCCUAUGGAAGCCAAAGGCAUCAGAGCCUCCAGGAGGUUGAGUUACAGUUGAUUGUCAUCCAUGUGUGCUGGGAAUCACAAUUGGAUCCUCUGGAAGAGCAGGAAAUACCCUUAACCAUUGAGCCACCUCUCCAGUGCCCCCUAAUACAUUUUAUAUCAACCUCCAUCUUCCAUGUAUACUGUAUGUAACACCUGAUCCUGCUAUGGUCUGGGGUCGUCCAGAGAUUCACCAGUCUAUUUUUAUCCUCAAAAUACAAUGUUGAACAUCACACUCAGAACUAGCACUUCCCUCUCAAUAAAUGUAUAUUUAUCAUCUCAUAUCAUGCAUUUUCUGUCCAUACUAGAAGUGACCUUUGAAUGAUAUAUAUUGGCUUAUGUCAUCUUUCUUCUUGUCUUUCAAGGGUCAGCACCACAUUUGGAAUAACUCCUAAAUUUCCUCCAAAGGCCUAACAUGAUCCAGCCCCAGCUGUUCCCUGAACAUAUGUUUUCCAAGUCCACCCCUACAUACCCCUCUUCAGCCAUUCUGAUCUUCUGCUCUGCAAGCAGGUCAGGCACAUUGCUGCCUGGAGGCUGGAGUGUUAUUCCUUCUGUUUGAAGAUGUUUUUCUUGGG
Molecule: long non-coding RNA, 1847 nt
Filed under: Cricetulus griseus (Chinese hamster)
Lineage: Eukaryota; Metazoa; Chordata; Mammalia; Rodentia; Cricetidae
Description: lncRNA (ENSCGRG00015042077.1)
Source: RNAcentral